GGGCGAGUAGCUCAGUUGGCUAGAGCGCUGCUCUUACAAAGCAGAGGUCGCCGGUUCGAGCCCGGCCUUGCCCA
This 74-nucleotide transfer RNA is filed under the name Phycisphaeraceae bacterium. RNAcentral describes it as "tRNA-Val". It matches the Rfam family "tRNA". From Rfam's summary of the family: Transfer RNA (tRNA) molecules are approximately 80 nucleotides in length. Their secondary structure includes four short double-helical elements and three loops (D, anti-codon, and T loops). The record is from RNAcentral. Lineage: Bacteria; Pseudomonadati; Planctomycetota; Phycisphaerae; Phycisphaerales; Phycisphaeraceae.